RNAcentral lists this ribosomal RNA (497 nucleotides) under uncultured bacterium. RNAcentral describes it as "partial 16S ribosomal RNA". It matches the Rfam family "Bacterial small subunit ribosomal RNA", at positions 28 to 507 of the family's 1533-position model. The record is from RNAcentral.
GAUGAACGCUGGCGGCGUGCCUAAUACAUGCAAGUCGAGCGAACAGAUAAGGAGCUUGCUCCUUUGACGUUAGCGGCGGACGGGUGAGUAACACGUGGAUAACCUACCUAUAAGACUGGGAUAACUUCGGGAAACCGGAGCUAAUACCGGAUAACAUAUUGAACCGCAUGGUUCAAUAGUGAAAGGCGGCUUUGCUGUCACUUAUAGAUGGAUCCGCGCCGUAUUAGCUAGUUGGUAAGGUAACGGCUUACCAAGGCAACGAUACGUAGCCGACCUGAGAGGGUGAUCGGCCACACUAGAACUGAGACACGGUCCAGGCUCCUACGGGAGGCAGCAGUAGGGAAUCUUCCGCAAUGGGCGAAAGCCUGACGGAGCAACGCCGCGUGAGUGAUGAAGGUCUUCGGAUCGUAAAACUCUGUUAUCAGGGAAGAACAAAUGUGUAAGUAACUGUGCACAUCUUGACGGUACCUGAUCAGAAAGCCACGGCUAACUACGUG